GGUAGAUGCUCUUCUGAUGGUUAAAAAAAAACUUUGAACAGUUUUCCUCCUCACGCGAUCAGUUUCAGAAAACGAAAGCAUCCUCUCCGCGCUGUCUCAGUCGUGCCGCCUCUCUAUUGCGAGCUUUCCUCCAUUGACGCCAGCCAUCCUGAUGAAGUCGAUCCAGCCAGUGGAAGGGGAGAACAAGCAGCGGACGUCUUGCAGUGUUUGGUAGCAGCGGAAGAUGCGGAUCAGUGGAGGAAUUUGAUGGCAGAGGAGCUCUCGGUGAUGGUGAGAUCUAGCUCAGGCAGCCUUCCACCGGAAGGAAGCUAGUUGGAAUCGGGAAAGCUCAGGAGGAGACUCUUGGUGCAGAGAUUUAGUUGCUGGAAAAUGCAUCAGCAGAAGAAAAUCUCAUAAUAUUCCAAAAGUGUN
RNAcentral lists this long non-coding RNA (411 nucleotides) under Vigna radiata. RNAcentral describes it as "long non-coding RNA (VRAD_LNC015633)". The record is from RNAcentral. Lineage: Eukaryota; Viridiplantae; Streptophyta; Magnoliopsida; Fabales; Fabaceae.